Molecule: transfer-messenger RNA, 399 nt
Filed under: uncultured Prevotella sp.
Lineage: Bacteria; Pseudomonadati; Bacteroidota; Bacteroidia; Bacteroidales; Prevotellaceae
Rfam family: transfer-messenger RNA
About the family: Bacterial tmRNA, also known as 10Sa RNA or SsrA, is named for its dual tRNA and mRNA-like properties. Its role is to liberate the mRNA from a stalled ribosome.
Source: RNAcentral
GGGGUUGACUGGAUUUGACGGCAAGACGAAAUGGUGUGUAAGCACGCGGAGACUCGGUGGCUAUCUCCUUAAUCAGAGUGACCAAAAAAUUAAUUGGCGAAAACAAUUACGCUCUCGCUGCCUAACUGAAGUAUAGUAGGUUACUGGCCUAAUCGCGCUAUAAGAUAGUGCGACGAGACACCGCUCCGAGGAUGUUGUCCCGAAUCCGGAGAUUAAGCGGUGCAGGUAAAUCGGGAAUAGCUGGCGGCAGCCCCGUGUCGUAGGUGAAUUUUUAGGGGAUAAGGCGAUGAUUGGUGGCCCAGGUCUUGUCGUCGCUCGAAAACCAAAGGCUGGGAUAAGCGUGUAGAAAGCACAUGGUUUCCUUGUGCGGACGUGGGUUCGAAUCCCACCAGCUCCACC